Molecule: ribosomal RNA, 434 nt
Filed under: uncultured bacterium
Lineage: Bacteria
Description: partial 16S ribosomal RNA
Rfam family: Bacterial small subunit ribosomal RNA
Source: RNAcentral
AGUGAACGCUGGCGGCAGGCCUAAUACAUGCAAGUCGAACGAACAUACCGGGGUCUGUGGCCUCCGGGUGUGGAGCACGUCGGAAGGUGCACUCAGGUAUGGAAUAACUCUGGGAAACGUGUGCCUUUAGGGAACGUGCGCUACGGGGGGAAGAUUUAUCGACGUUAGUGCGUCACGCGUCUGAUUAGCUAGUUGAUUGAGGUAUUGGUUCACCAAGGCGACGUUAGGUAGCUGGUCUGAGAGGAUGGUCCGCCACAUUGGAACUGGGACGCAGUCCAGACUCCUCCGGGAGGCGGCAAUGGGGGAUCUAGCGAAGUCGGGGAAGGCAUGACGCUGCCAUGCCGGGUGAAUGAUGAAGGUCUGAAGAUUGUAAAAUUCUUUCACCGGGGACGAUAAUGACGGUACCCGGAGAAGAAGCCCCGGCUAACUUCGUG